GCUGGGCAUGGUGGUGCAUGCCUGUAAUCCCAGUGGCUCGGGAGGCUGAGGCAGGAGGAUCAUGAGUUCAAAGCCAGCCUUAGCAAUGAUGAAGCGCUUCGCCAUUCGGUGAGACCCUGUCUCUA
RNAcentral lists this small RNA (125 nucleotides) under Marmota monax (woodchuck). Lineage: Eukaryota; Metazoa; Chordata; Mammalia; Rodentia; Sciuridae. The record is from RNAcentral.